ACAAGUAUUCGUGAAACAUAUCAAUCAGAAAUAUAGAUCGACUUUGUGACGGCUUUUCGAGCUGAUAAUAUAACAUCCGUAUUAUUAUAUUCAAAUACAAGGAUUUAUAUCUAAUAGUCGAAUAGAAAGAUUUAGAUUUUUGUGAAUAGCGUACAUUGCUAGAAAAUAAUUUGUUUACAUCUAAAAAUAUUGUGGAUUGAUGAAGUAACAUUUACAAGAAGAAUUUUUUAACUGUUAUAGAAACAUAUAUACAUGAGCAUGAAAAAAUCUAUGAAUUAAACAACUUUUCAGUAUUAAUUCACAUACGAUAUGUUUAUAUUCUUUAUCUCAUUCGCGAAUGCAGAAAUUUAUCUCCAUUUUCCAAGAAAUGAAUUAUUAUAUUUCUUAAAAGACGAAUUAUUGUCUUCUAUUCUAAGCAUAACUGGAAUGACUGUCUAGCAUAUGUUCAAUAAUUAAAUAUUAUUUUUGCAGAUAGAUAAGUCAAAAAGAGUCAAUAUUUUUGGCUUUCAAGAUCGCUUCACUUAAUGGACUUUUAUUUUGGGAAACUUUAAAGGAAGAAAAGUGUAUUUAAAAGUUUAUUAAACGAACUACAUUUUUCGUGGUACGCAUCAUCUGAUGAACCCAUCCAAUGAGCCACCAGUAAGUGCACGUCGCCUGAUGGAAGACUCGAACAUGAGCCACCAGUCGUAGGCACCGCCCAAUGACACUCGUCAAAGGAAACAGAUAUACAAAUAAACAAAAAAUAUUACAAUCUAAAAAUAUAA
This is a long non-coding RNA of Apis mellifera (honey bee), 764 nucleotides long. RefSeq lists it as uncharacterized. Lineage: Eukaryota; Metazoa; Arthropoda; Insecta; Hymenoptera; Apidae. The transcript has 3 exons. The record is from RefSeq and is a predicted model, not a curated record.